This 492-nucleotide ribosomal RNA is filed under the name uncultured bacterium. RNAcentral describes it as "partial 16S ribosomal RNA". It matches the Rfam family "Bacterial small subunit ribosomal RNA", at positions 29 to 507 of the family's 1533-position model. The record is from RNAcentral.
AGUGAACGCUGGCGGUAGGCCUAACACAUGCAAGUCGAACGGCAGCACAGUAAGAGCUUGCUCUUACUGGUGGCGAGUGGCGGACGGGUGAGGAAUACAUCGGAAUCUACUUUUUCGUGGGGGAUAACGUAGGGAAACUUACGCUAAUACCGCAUACGACCUACGGGUGAAAGCAGGGGAUCUUCGGACCUUGCGCGAUUGAAUGAGCCGAUGUCGGAUUAGCUAGUUGGCGGGGUAAAGGCCCACCAAGGCGACGAUCCGUAGCUGGUCUGAGAGGAUGAUCAGCCACACUGGAACUGAGACACGGUCCAGACUCCUACGGGAGGCAGCAGUGGGGAAUAUUGGACAAUGGGCGCAAGCCUGAUCCAGCCAUACCGCGUGGGUGAAGAAGGCCUUCGGGUUGUAAAGCCCUGUUGUUGGGAAAGAAAAGCAGCAGGUUAAUACCCCGCUGUUCUGACGGUACCCAAAGAAUAAGCACCGGCUAACUUCGUG